AUUGAACGCUGGCGGCAGGCCUAACACAUGCAAGUCGAACGCGUGGCGGACGGGUGAGUCAUGUCUGUGAACCUCCCUGAUGGAGGGGGAUAACUACUGGAAACGGUAGCUAUUACCGCAUACCAUCAGAUGUGCCCAGAUGGGUUUAGCUAGUUGGUGGGGUAACGGCUAACAAAGGCGACGAUCCCUAGCUGGUCGGAGAGGAUGACCAGCCACACUGGAACGGAGACACGGGCCAGACUCCUACGGGAGGCAGCAGUGGGGAAUAUUGCACAAUGGGCGCAAGCCUGAUGCAGCCAUGCCGCGUGUAUGAAGAAGGCCUUCGGGUUGUAAAGUUCUUUCAGCGGGGAGGCGGUACCCGAAGAAGAAGCACCGGCUAACUCCGUGCCAGCAGCCGCGGUAAUAC
RNAcentral lists this ribosomal RNA (406 nucleotides) under uncultured bacterium. RNAcentral describes it as "partial 16S ribosomal RNA". It matches the Rfam family "Bacterial small subunit ribosomal RNA", at positions 30 to 526 of the family's 1533-position model. The record is from RNAcentral.